GAUGAACGCUGGCGGCGUGCCUAACACAUGCAAGUCGAACGGAGUCCAGCCUUUAAGACCUUCGGGUCAAAGAGGGGAAGACUGAGUGGCGGACGGGUGAGUAACACGUGGGCAACCUGGCUCAUAGAGGGGGAUAACAGAGAGAAAUUUCUGCUAAUACCGCAUAAGCACACACUGCCGCAUGGCAGAGGGUGGAAAGAGAAUCGCUAUGAGAUGGACCCGCGUCUGAUUAGCCAGUUGGCAGGGUAAGAGCCUACCAAAGCGACGAUCAGUAGCCGAGCUGAGAGGAGGACCAGCCACAUUGGGAAUGAGACACGGCCCCAACUCCUACGGGAGGCAGCAGUGGGGGAUAUUGCACAAUGGGGGGAACCCUGAUGCAGCGACGCCGCGUGAGUGAAGAAGUAUUUCGGUAUGUAAAGCUCUAUCAGCAGGGAAGAUAAUGACAGUACCUGAAUAAGAAGCCCCGGCUAACUACGUG
Molecule: ribosomal RNA, 478 nt
Filed under: uncultured bacterium
Lineage: Bacteria
Description: partial 16S ribosomal RNA
Rfam family: Bacterial small subunit ribosomal RNA
Source: RNAcentral